Arabidopsis thaliana (thale cress) is the source of this 216-nucleotide long non-coding RNA. RefSeq annotates it as other RNA. The record is from RefSeq. Lineage: Eukaryota; Viridiplantae; Streptophyta; Magnoliopsida; Brassicales; Brassicaceae. The transcript has a single exon.
CGGCGCCGGAAUUUGCAAAGAUAGUUAUCAGAACAUGUUCCUUGACGUUGAAGGCACCCGGGUUUAAGGUAAACUGAAACCUCGUACCUUCCAAGAAUCUUUUUGUCGGAAGCACUCUCGCCAUGAGAUGACCAAGCGGCACGACGGCGAUCUGAGCGGAGAUUCCGGUGAUACUCAACGGCAUCGUUCUGUACCAGAAAAACUGGUUGAUAAAGG